Salvelinus fontinalis (brook trout) is the source of this 725-nucleotide non-coding RNA. Lineage: Eukaryota; Metazoa; Chordata; Actinopteri; Salmoniformes; Salmonidae. The record is from the annotation of a RefSeq genome assembly.
CUGUCCUUCAUGACAACAGAACCACAACAACCAUGACUUUUAUCACCAUCUUCAUCUGGAUAUUUGCUUUCUGCUUUCAAGGAUCCAAAGGACAGCACACUGUGACUCAGACUCCUUCAGUGGAAACUGUUCUCCCAGGACAGAUGGUCUCCCUUAAGUGUAAAACCAGCAGUAAUGUUUACAACAAUGACUUUUUAGCCUGGUACCAACAGAAACCUGGAGGAGCUCCUAAACUCCUUAUUUACUAUGCUACAACACUUCAGUCUGGGACUCCGUCUAGAUUCAGUGGUAGUGGAUCUGGGAGUGACUUCACUCUGACCAUCAGUGAAGUCCAGGCUGAAGAUGCAGGAGAUUACUACUGUCAGAGUGCACACCUUGUAAGUGCCUGGGUGUUCACACAGUGAUAUAGUGCCGUACAAAAACCUCCCUCAGAUGUCACAGUAACUGCACUAUUUGGGUGUGACUGCAGAUGCUGAGGGGGAAGAGAUAGUGACAUGGAACACUGGCUGAACUAAAAUACACUGAGCUAAAUAUAUCAGUGAUGCUGACUAUGUCAACUUAUCCCCCCUCAUGUUAAAUCAUUCCUUAAGUGAUAACAACCGUAUGUCUGGAUUGCAAUAGUAUUCCUCCCAUUUUGCUCAUGUGUAAACAUUGCCUUAACAUGUGACAUAAUAUAUUGAACGGACUAUUUGCAACAAUAGUAAUGUCUCACAUCAUUUCAGAAU